ACGGCCCAAAGAACCCCUCAGUGUCAGUCAGUCCCUCUGGUGGAAUAGUGGAGGGCAGUUCAGUGACUCUGACCUGCAGCAGUGAUGCCAACCCUCCUGUGGACAAAUACACCUGGUACUUUCAAAAUGAGACUUUUCUAAAUGGAUGUGGACAGAUGUACAACAUCAGUAACUUCAGGUCUGAGGACAGUGGACAUUACCACUGUGAGGCCUGGAAUAGAAGAGGAUCUAGGAACUCUACAGCUCUGAUGAUCAUUUUACCAGGGAAACAAACCUCAGUUCAGACUGCAGCUGUAGGAAUCAUAGUGGUUGUUCUGGUUCUCAUCCUCUGUUUCUCUGGACUCAUGUGGUUCAGGGAGACUCUAGUCCAGUGUAUGAAAACGUCUCAAGCAUGUCCACAGCCCCUACUGCAGCACAGACAGCAGCCACCGUCCACCAGGACGAUGUUCACUACUCCAGUGUCCACUUCUCUCGCUCCAAAAACCAGGAAGUGCCUCUGUACUCUACCGUCCAGAUGCCUCAGCCCCAGAAAGAGGAAGAGGAUGUCCAGUACGAUGCUGUGAAAUUCAACCUCCCCAGUGCUGCCAACCAACCCACGGCAGCACAAGCAGCUGAGGAGGACUCUUCUGAGAUCUAUAGUAGAGUCAACAAACCCAGAAGACCUGAACACAACAAACCCAGAACCAAAAAGACCUGAAUGCAACAAACCCAGAACCAAGAAGACCUGAACGCAACAAACCCAGAAACAAGAAGACCUGAACGCAACAAACCCAG
Oncorhynchus tshawytscha (Chinook salmon) is the source of this 774-nucleotide long non-coding RNA. Lineage: Eukaryota; Metazoa; Chordata; Actinopteri; Salmoniformes; Salmonidae. The record is from Ensembl.